RNAcentral lists this ribosomal RNA (253 nucleotides) under uncultured bacterium. RNAcentral's name for it is "partial 16S ribosomal RNA". It matches the Rfam family "Bacterial small subunit ribosomal RNA", at positions 524 to 776 of the family's 1533-position model. The record is from RNAcentral.
UACGGAGGGUGCGAGCGUUGUCCGGAAUCACUGGGCGUAAAGGGCGCGUAGGCGGCGCGGAUAGUCAACGGUGAAAGCUUGGGGCUCAACCCCGAGUCGGCCGUCGAUACUUCCUUGCUUGAGCACUGUAGAGGCAGAUGGAAUUCCGGGUGUAGCGGUGGAAUGCGUAGAGAUCCGGAAGAACACCGGUGGCGAAGGCGGUCUGCUGGGCAGUAGCUGACGCUGAUGCGCGACAGCGUGGGGAGCAAACAGG